AUGCCACCGCGCGCGCGCAUGGAGUGGCCGGCAGCAUGGCCCGUGCUCGUCCUCGUCACUUUGCUCACGCCCUGGAGCAGCGCCGUCGCCGUUGCAUCACCGCCAGUAGUGGCGUCGGCGGCGCCGGUGCGGGUGGGCGUGGUGCUGGACCUGACGAGCCACGUGGGGAGGGAGAGGCGCGCCUGCAUUUCUUCGGCGUUGGACGACUUCGACGCCGCUCACCCCAGCUCCGACGCAGCGCGGGUCGAACUGCUCGUACGGGACUCGCGCGGGGAUCUAGCCAUGGCAACACAUGCUGCCGAUGACCUGAUCAAGAAUGGGCAAGUGCAAGCCAUCAUAUGGGGCCCUGAGGUACUGACCAAAGCCAAUCACGCCACACACCUGCGCCGCCACCGCAACCACAUUCCGGUUAUCUCCUUCUCUAGCAUUAUUUCCCCCGCAUCGUGUGCCUUCUGGCUGGAAGAUCCUGUAACAGUUCCUGGAGGCUAUGCUAAGUUUGGCUUUACACUUGGAAGUGACAGCAUAACCUUUCCUAAUCCAGAAACCGAUAGACAAUACAGAAGAAAACUAGAUGCACGAAAAUCAAGUAAGAGUUGCAGAAGCAAGGCAGGGCUGAAUAUAGCUGUGCCGCUGAAACUAGGCUUUCAAGUUUUUGUGAAUGUUACUGAUCCUUAUUCCGAGAAACAAAAUGUCACUGGCUACAGCAUUGAUAUCUUCGAGGCUGCUAUCAGGAAUUUACGUCCUCUCCCGUGCUAUGAAUAUUUUGUCUUCAAUGGUACUUAUGAUGAGCUAGUAGGCAACGUGUCUUUGGGGGUCUAUGAUGGUGCAGUAGGGGAUGUGACCAUAACGGCUGAACGAGUCACCACCACCGACUUUACAAUGCCAUACACACAGUCUGGUGUGUCUAUGCUUGUGCUUGCCGAGGAUGAACCGGAUACAAUCCGCUGGACAUUUGUAAAGCCACUAACUCGGAAGCUCUGGUUGGCAACCAUGGUCUUCUUCUUCUAUACUGGCUUUGUCGUGUGGAUGAUUGAACUACCUAGAAAUCAGGAGUACCAAGGAUCAAGUUUGAGACAGUGUAGCACCGCCCUCUACUUUGUUUUCUCCACUUUGACAUUUUCUCAUGGUCAUACUAUUAAAAGCCCCUUGUCAAAAAUUGUUGUGGUGAUAUGGUGCUUUGUAGUGCUGAUUCUUGUCCAGAGCUACACAGCAAGCCUGUCAUCCAUUCUGACUGCAAAAAGACUCCGUCCUUGGAUGACAGAUUUUGACCAGCUCCGGCACAGUGGUGACUUUGUAGGAUACCAAGAUGAUUCAUUUGUGCGGUCGUUCUUGAUGAAUCAUAACAUCAGUGAAAGCAGGUUAAAGAACUACACCACGAAAGAAGAAUAUGCUGAUGCUUUGUGGAAGGGGUCCAAUAAUGGAGGGGUGUCGGCUAUCAUUGAUGAGAUCCCCUAUUUGACUUCUUUCCUCUCAGACCGUCGGUAUGGAAAUGAUUUUAGGAUGCUCGGGUGCAUUUACAAGACUCCUGGAUUUGGUUUUGCAUUUAAUCUAGGUUCUCCGCUAGUUCAUAAUCUUUCGACUGCCAUCCUGAACCUAGCAGGAGGGGAUGAGGGAUCACGAAUCGAAGUGAAAUGGUUUGGCACAACUUCAUCGCCGAUAGGUGCUGGCACAAUCCCAGACACUGAUUCCGCGCCUCUCACUUUAGAAAGUUUCUCCGGUCUCUUCGUCAUCACGGGAUCCAUUUCAACUCUCAUGCUGCUGAUAAGCAUUAUGAGGUUGAUUUAUGCCAAAUGCAUUGAGUUGAGAAAGGCUGAUGUGGAAAGUGUCAGCUACAGUGGCACUGACGAUGAGUCCCGCCUGUUGCAGAAUGGCAUAGGUGGCAACCCCAGCCCUGAUCAACAACCAUUACAUGAAGCUGGCAAUAAUCAUUCCGGGGGUGUCCAUAUGAGUGGCGAAAAUGCUGGGGACACAGAGCCUGACCCAGUGCAGCAGAAUGGCUCUGUCCCUGCAGGACACAUUCAGAUUGAGAUGCGCAAUAUCUAA
This 2043-nucleotide ribosomal RNA is filed under the name Triticum aestivum (bread wheat). Its description in RNAcentral is "partial small subunit ribosomal RNA". The record is from RNAcentral. Lineage: Eukaryota; Viridiplantae; Streptophyta; Magnoliopsida; Poales; Poaceae.